GAUGAAGAACGCAGCGAAAUGCGAUAACUAGUGUGAAUUGCAGAAUUCCGUGAAUCAUCGAGUCUUUGAACGCACAUUGCGCCCCCUGGUAUUCCGGGGGGCAUGCCUGUCCGAGCGUCAUUGCUGCCCAUCAAGCACGGCUUGUGUGUUGGGUCGUCGUCCCCUCUCCGGGGGGGACGGGCCCCAAAGGCAGCGGCGGCACCGCGUCCGAUCCUCGAGCGUAUGGGGCUUUGUCACCCGCUCUGUAGGCCCGGCCGGCGCUUGCCGAACGCAAAUCAAUCUUUUUCCAGGUUGACCUCGGAUCAGGUAGGGAUACCCGCUGAACUUAAGCAUAUCAAUAAGCGGAGGA
Molecule: unclassified non-coding RNA, 349 nt
Filed under: soil metagenome
Description: partial contains 5.8S ribosomal RNA, internal transcribed spacer 2, and large subunit ribosomal RNA
Rfam family: 5.8S ribosomal RNA (bases 1-120)
Source: RNAcentral